UGUCGGGAUGAUCAAAAUGAUAUAUAGUUGGUAUAAUAGGAGAUAAUGAGAUGGGAUUAUAGUGUUGUUCAAUAAGAAUUAGGAGAUAGUGAUAUGGAAUUAGUGUUGUUUAAUGGUAAUUAUUCUUGGCUCAAAUAUUGGGAAGAAUUUGAAGUAUAUUGGCUUUACUCUGUAUGUAAGAUUGGAAUAAGCGAUGAUUACUGGUUAUCAUUUAGGGUGCGUUUGGUUCGAGUUAUCCUGGCAGGAUUACAGGCAAUCCUGUCAGGAUAACUGUGUUUGGUUAAUCCGCUAUAUAAUCUAGUCGUUAAUGUAACAUUACAAAUCGAGCAGGAUUACAUCGAAAAUAUUAACGGGAGGGGGGUCGUGUAUCUUGCAUUACUGAAACCCGUUAAUACUACAUAUUAUGUAAAAUGACAAAUUUACCCUCCAACAACCCAAAAUCUAAUUAACAGCAUUAUUUUCAUCUCUCUCUCGCCGUCCCCUGGCCCUCUCUCUCGCACGCCGCUUUCUCUCGCUCUCUCUCGACGUCUCUCUCUCUCUCUCUCUCUCUCGCACGAACACCUAUCAUCUUCUAUUGCGUCGUCCUCCCAAGUAAUCAUCACGAUCUCCUUCCCUCUAUUCGUCAUUUCCGUAAAAAAUAAUAUUCAAAUGACCACAACAAGGAUAAUUUUGGAAAAAACUAUACUUUUAUGUCAGAAUUACUAAAUUUUAUAAACUGAACAAAACAUAUUAAUGCUAUAAAUACUGUAAUCUAGUAUUAUAUUACUAUAUUAAACCAAACGCUCUAAUGCAACAUUAAUAGUAAUCUCACGCCGAAAUCCAAAAUACCUGGAUACAUCGAGAUACUUUGUAAUAUUACAUAUAUAACUCGAACCAAACGGGCCCUUCAGGAUUUAAUAUUUAAUUAUGUUGUUCAAAUUAAAUUUAAUUAUAAUUUUUAGGAUUUAAUCAUAUCAUUUAAGGGUUAAUAAUAAUAUUGUCAUCUCAUGAACAAUUUUAGCUUAGUGGCUAGUGCAGGAUUUUUGGACAGUCCCUUUAAAUUUAAUUAUAAUUAUGCUGUCCAAAAAUCCAACUACAAGCAACCAAAUGGUCCCUUUAUGCUUUUAGCUUAUUGGCUUAUGUCAUUCUUAUCAAC
This 1135-nucleotide long non-coding RNA is filed under the name Ananas comosus (pineapple). RNAcentral describes it as "long non-coding RNA (ACOM_LNC006620)". Lineage: Eukaryota; Viridiplantae; Streptophyta; Magnoliopsida; Poales; Bromeliaceae. The record is from RNAcentral.